ACGUCCUCAAUGAGAAAUAAAGACUUUCAUUGCGGUGGGAGAUCAAACGAUUAUUAUCCGGAUUGGCGAUGCGUAAAAAUGCCGGUGGAGAAACUCAUCGCUGCUGUAAUAUUGUGGUGAAUCAGGCAAUAAUCGAUAAAUAAAAAAGAAGAUCUGAUCAGUGCUCACCUUGACGACGAUGAAUCUUUGAAGCAGUCGAAGCUGAGAGCUGCUAGAAUCCUCCAGAGCAGGUCCAUGCCGGUUCCUCUCAUGGUAAAACCUUCAUUUCAUCGACCUGCUUUCCUGGCGCGCGUCAUGUUUCAGAAAGCGCGACACCGCCGAGUCUUUAAAUUGAGGACAAAACAAAAAUCCUGCGCCUCCUCCCCUCUUCCUCUCUCCUCACCCUCUCUCCCCCUGCUCUCCCACGCCACGUUGUUACACGGACGCUUGGAGAGGAUGUGGCUUCGUGAUCGCCAUCAUCAUCAUCAUCAUCAUCCGCUGGCAUCUGAAGGGACGUAAACAAAGAUUCAUGAAUGUGCGCGCUUUGGAGCCGCUUUCGAUGGUUUCUCCUCUUCCUCCUCCUCCUCCUCCUCAGCAGCAGCAGCAGCGGCAGAAAGAGGACGCAGAGAGGCGCAGCUGAGGUGUUUCAUUUGCAUCAAUCAGAGGGAAACGCACACACGCCUGAGCGGACCUCACCAAUGAGCUGGAAGUGGAGCAGGACACCGAAACGGCCUCAAAAUGCCUCUAAUACUAAUGAGCUGCAGAAAUCGCGUCCCACUGAGCCACUGCAGCGUUUUAAUGGCACAGAUUAUCGUGUAAAAUCCGCAAACAGCCACUUUCAUUGACUAAAACUCCUCUGACCCAGUGGGGCAUGGACUCAGGACCUCUGGGGAUGUCCUGUGGUACUGGAAUGGUAGCAGUGAAUUCUGUGGAUCGUGUGGGUUGCAGGGUGGAACCUACCUAGAUCAAGUUUAUCCUGGAACAUCCCACAGAUGCUCAAUAAGGUUUGGAUCUGGAGAAUGUGGAACCUGGGUGAACAGCUUAGCUCUGUUGUGUUCCCCGGGCCACUCCUGAGCAGUUUUUGUGGUGUGUUGGGGUGCAUUGUCCUGCUGAGGGUGGCAACUGGCAUCAAGGACUGCUGGUAAGGUACAUGUCAAACGUCCACAUGAACGUCAGGAUGUCCCAGCAGAACGUUGCAUUACAACAAAAUGAUCGAUGUUAUUCACUUCACCUGUCAGUGGUCAUAAUGUUGUGACUGAUCGGUGUGUAUAUAUAUCUGGAUUAAAGUUUAACCAGAGAUCCCUGUAGAGAACCUUCUCUAGAGUGCAGAGACCCGAGUCUGGGAUGAUGCUCCACCUUCCAGCACCACAAUGACUCAAAAUACACAGCCAAGACAUCACCGGA
Long non-coding RNA from Amphiprion ocellaris (clown anemonefish), 1383 nucleotides. NCBI's taxonomy places the organism in Eukaryota, Metazoa, Chordata, Actinopteri, Pomacentridae. The record is from Ensembl.